RNAcentral lists this ribosomal RNA (471 nucleotides) under uncultured bacterium. Its description in RNAcentral is "bacterial SSU rRNA". It matches the Rfam family "Bacterial small subunit ribosomal RNA", at positions 355 to 825 of the family's 1533-position model. The record is from RNAcentral.
UCGAGGAUCUUCCGCAAUGGACGAAAGUCUGACGGAGCGACACCGCGUGUAGGAUGAAGGCCCUAUGGGUUGUAAACUACUGUCACGCUUUAGGAAACGCUUCAUGUUAAUACCAUGAAGCCUGACCAUGGCGAAAGGAAGCGCCGGCUAACCCUGUGCCAGCAGCCGCGGUAAUACAGGGGGGCGCAAACGUUGUUCGGAAUUACUGGGCGUAAAGCGCACGUAGGCGGAUUGUUAAGUCAGAGGUGAAAUCCCGGAGCUCAACUUCGGAACUGCCUUUGAUACUGGCAAUCUAGAGUCCGGAAGAGGUUAGUGGAAUUCCCAGUGUAGAGGUGAAAUUCGUAGAGAUCGGAAGGAACACCAGUGGCGAAGGCGGCUACCUGGCCUGAUACUGACACUGAGGCACGAAAGCGUGGGGAGCAAACAGGAUUAGAUACCCAAGUAGUCCCUGAGCGGGCUGGCAAGGCGCAU